GAUGGACGCUGGCGGCGUGCCUAAUACAUGCAAGUCGAGCGAACAGACGAGGAGCUUGCUCCUCUGACGUUAGCGGCGGACGGGUGAGUAACACGUGGAUAACCUACCUAUAAGACUGGGAUAACUUCGGGAAACCGGAGCUAAUACCGGAUAAUAUAUUGAACCGCAUGGUUCAAUAGUGAAAGACGGUUUUGCUGUCACUUAUAGAUGGAUCCGCGCCGCAUUAGCUAGUUGGUAAGGUAACGGCUUACCAAGGCAACGAUGCGUAGCCGACCUGAGAGGGUGAUAGGCCACACGGGAACUGAGACACGGUCCAGACUCCUACGGGAGGCAGCAGUAGGGAAUCUUCCGCAAUGGGCGAAAGCCUGACGGAGCAACGCCGCGUGAGUGAUGAAGGUCUUCGGAUCGUAAAACUCUGUUAUUAGGGAAGAACAAAUGUGUAAGUAACUAUGCACGUCUUGACGGUACCUAAUCAGAAAGCCACGGCUAACUACGUG
Molecule: ribosomal RNA, 497 nt
Filed under: uncultured bacterium
Lineage: Bacteria
Description: partial 16S ribosomal RNA
Rfam family: Bacterial small subunit ribosomal RNA
Source: RNAcentral